Molecule: non-coding RNA, 72 nt
Organism: Podarcis lilfordi (Lilford's wall lizard)
Lineage: Eukaryota; Metazoa; Chordata; Lepidosauria; Squamata; Lacertidae
Source: the annotation of a GenBank genome assembly
AGGGUUACAGCUUAGUGGUACAGCAUCUGCUUUGCAUGCAGAUGAUCCCAAACUCAAUCCCUGGUAUCUCCA